GACGAACGCUGGCGGCGUGCUUAACACACGCAAGUCGAACGGUAAGGCCCUUCGGGGUACACGAGUGGCGAACGGGUGAGUAACACGUGGGUGAUCUGCCCUGCACUUCGGGAUAAGCCUGGGAAACUGGGUCUAAUACCGGAUAGGACCACUGCCUGCAUGGGUGGUGGUGGAAAGCUUUUGCGGUGUGGGAUGGGCCCGCGGCCUAUCAGCUUGUUGGUGGGGUGAUGGCCUACCAAGGCGACGAAGGGUAGCCGGCCUGGGAGGGUGACCGGCCACACUGAGACUGAGACACGGCCCAGACUCCUACGGGAGGCAGCAGUGGGGAAUAUUGCACAAUGGGCGCAAGCCUGAUGCAGCGACGCCGCGUGAGGGAUGACGGCCUUCGGGUUGUAAACCUCUUUCAGCACCGACGAAGCGCAAGUGACGGUAGGUGCAGAAGAAGGACCGGCCAACUACGUGCCAGCCGCCGCCGUAA
This 478-nucleotide ribosomal RNA is filed under the name uncultured bacterium. RNAcentral's name for it is "partial 16S ribosomal RNA". It matches the Rfam family "Bacterial small subunit ribosomal RNA", at positions 28 to 523 of the family's 1533-position model. The record is from RNAcentral.